AGCGAACGCUGGCGGCAUGCCUAACACAUGCAAGUCGCACGGGGGGCUUCGGCCUCCCAGUGGCGGACGGGUGAGGAACGCGUAGGGAUCUGUCGAGGGGUGGGGGAUAACCGCGGGAAACUGCGGCUAAUACCGCAUGACGCCGCGGCGUGACAGCCGGGGCCAAAGGCGAAAGCCGCCCGCCGAGGGGCCUGCGUCCGAUUAGCUGGUUGGCGGGGUAGCGGCCCACCAAGGCGUCGAUCGGUAGCUGGUCUGAGAGGGUGAUCAGCCACACCGGGACUGAGACACGGCCCGGACUCCUACGGGAGGCAGCAGUGGGGAAUAUUGGACAAUGGGCGCAAGCCUGAUCCAGCAAUGCCGCGUGGGUGAAGAAGGUCUUCGGAUUGUAAAGCCCUUUCGGCGGGGACGAUGGUGUCGGUACCCGCAGAAGAAGCCCCGGCUAACUUCGUG
Molecule: ribosomal RNA, 450 nt
Filed under: uncultured bacterium
Lineage: Bacteria
Description: partial 16S ribosomal RNA
Rfam family: Bacterial small subunit ribosomal RNA
Source: RNAcentral